AUAUAGGGUGACAAUACAUGUGUAACUACCUGCUAUAUAUAGAGACAAUACAUGUGUAAUUACCCGGUGUAUAUAUAGAGACAAUACAUGUGUAAUUACCUGCUGUAUAUAGAGACAGUACAUGUGUAUAAGUGUAAAAUGAUUGUAUAGUGAUUGUAGCUGAGGAUAUGGAUGUGUCAUAAGGUAGUGUACAGGUCAUAUGAUACAUCAUCAGGCAGUGUACAGGAUAUAUGAUGCGUCAUAAGGCAGUGUACAGGUCAUAUGAUGCAUCAUCACGCAGUGUACAGGUCAUAUGACGCGUCAUAAGGUAGUGUAUAGGUUAUAUGACACAUCAUAAGGUAGUGUAUAGGUUAUAUGACGCGUCAUAAGGUAGUGUAUAGGUUAUAUGACGCGUCAUAAGGUAGUGUAUAUGUUAUAUGAUGCAUGAUAAGGUAGUGUAUAGGUUAUAUGACACGUCAUAAGGUAGUGUACAGGUUAUAUGACGCGUCAUAAGGUAGUGUAUAUGUUAUAUGAUGCAUGAUAAGGUAGUGUAUAGGUUAUGUGAUGCGUCAUAAGGUAGUGUAUAGGUUAUAUGAUGCAUGAUAAGGUAGUGUAUAGGUUAUAUGAUGCGUCAUAAGGUAGUGUAUAAUGUCUCUAUCGUAGCUGGUCUCACCGCUGAUAACCGGGCGGAUCUCCUCUGGGGCUGCAACAGGAAGAGGAAGAGAAAACAUAUCACCACAGAAAAACACACGCUGUCAGAGAUCAACUAUGAUGAAACUGAGCUGACAAUACGAGUUCAUUUAUUGAAUAGUAAUUAUAGGGGAUGAGUUGUAGUCGAGGAUCUCGGUCUCACCUCCUCCUUGGUGUCCCCAGCGGCUCCCUGCUGAGGACAAACACAAACAACGACAAAUAAACAACUUUUAUCACAACAACAACACUUUAUUGGCUUUUAUAAGAGCAAGUAACAGUCUACUGUGGCUCAAAUUACAUAUUUCUUCACUGUCAAGGAAGACCCCAGAUAACUUUUCAAUUUCAAGAAAAAAGUAAAAAUGUCAUAGAUAAUGUUCAAAUAAAUGUGUUUUUAGAACCAUUAGAUUGAACUGUAAUGUAAUAUUUGAGUUUUGUUAAC
RNAcentral lists this long non-coding RNA (1108 nucleotides) under Salmo salar (Atlantic salmon). RNAcentral's name for it is "lncRNA (ENSSSAG00000096761.1)". Lineage: Eukaryota; Metazoa; Chordata; Actinopteri; Salmoniformes; Salmonidae. The record is from RNAcentral.